RNAcentral lists this long non-coding RNA (992 nucleotides) under Gallus gallus (chicken). Its description in RNAcentral is "lncRNA (ENSGALG00010009579.1)". Lineage: Eukaryota; Metazoa; Chordata; Aves; Galliformes; Phasianidae. The record is from RNAcentral.
GUAACAGCCAUAGGAUGAGGGGCGGUGGUCCCAAGUUGCACCAUGGGAGCUUCAGGCUGGAUGGUAGGAAAAACUUACUAGGAAGGGUGGUCGGGCACUGGAAUGGCCUGCCCAGGGAGGUGGUGUAGUCGCCAUCCCUGGAGGCAUUCAAGACACAUGGAUGUGGCACUGAGGGACAUGGUUAGUGGGCAUGGUGGGGACGGGCUGAUGAUUGGACUAGAUGAUCUUAGAGGUCUUUCCCAACCUGAUUCUGUGGAGCCUUCUUUGCCACAGGUUCGGCCCAGGUGUUUGGUUUAGUACUGGUAGGCACCUCCAUUGUAUUAUUGUGAAUGGUUAUUUUAGUAAACAUGGGUUGAACCUUCAAGACCAGCGGAAAGAAUUCCUGUUCCUCUAAAUUGUAUGCAAAAUUUGAUUGGAGAGCAAAACGGGAGCCGACAUACUUGCUUGGCCACAUUCUGAUAUGUUUCUAAAUGGCUGGAAAUAGAAGCACCUUUUGCACAGAAUCAGAAGCCACAUGGCAGGUCCGGUGGCCUGCAUCCCAAGGGUGGUUCCAGGGGUGGACCAACACAUUUGCCAUUGGCCCUUUGUAUUUUUGCUGUCACAGGGAUGCGGAGUUUCAUGUGGGGGAAUCACUGACAGGAGGGUGUGAUGGUUGUGUCAGAACGAUCUUGGCUUCAGCAGCAGUGCUGUAUUACAGUUUGGGAAGAUGGAGGAGUCGCAGCGACGUGAAGAAAUGCGGAGGUGUGUGAAAAUAGCACUGAAAAUGCAACUUAGAAGAAAAGACGUUCAGUUAAAGCACACGAGGACAAGCCUAGAAACCUGUUCUGGCAGCUCGACCUCUUGGUACAAUCGUACGAGGAAAAUGCCACCUGCACCGUUGGUUCUAAAAGCCUACGGACAAAGCAGCGUCGUAACCACCGGCAACAUAACCACGUCGAUGCCGGGAUUUGAGCUGACAGCCGACGCGUGCCGCAGGCGGCGCUGGAAAGGAG